RNAcentral lists this transfer RNA (69 nucleotides) under Bos taurus (domestic cattle). It matches the Rfam family "tRNA". From Rfam's summary of the family: Transfer RNA (tRNA) molecules are approximately 80 nucleotides in length. Their secondary structure includes four short double-helical elements and three loops (D, anti-codon, and T loops). Further hydrogen bonds mediate the characteristic L-shaped molecular structure. tRNAs have two regions of fundamental functional importance: the anti-codon, which is responsible for specific mRNA codon recognition, and the 3' end, to which the tRNAs corresponding amino acid is attached (by aminoacyl-tRNA synthetases). tRNAs cope with the degeneracy of the genetic code in two manners: having more than one tRNA (with a specific anti-codon) for a particular amino acid; and 'wobble' base-pairing, i.e. permitting non-standard base-pairing at the 3rd anti-codon position. Lineage: Eukaryota; Metazoa; Chordata; Mammalia; Artiodactyla; Bovidae. RNAcentral also lists the same sequence under 5 other names. The record is from Rfam by way of RNAcentral.
CCUGGUAGCUCAGAUGGUAAAGCAUCUGCUUAAAAUGCAGGAGACCCGGGUUUGAUCCCUGGGUCAGGA